UACAGAGGUCCCAAGCGUUGUUCGGAUUCACUGGGCGUAAAGGGUGCGUAGGUGGUGGGGUAAGUCUGAUGUGAAAUCUUCGAGCUUAACUCGGAAAUGGCAUUGGAUACUACUCUGCUAGAGGUUUGGAGGGGGGACUGGAAUUCUCGGUGUAGCAGUGAAAUGCGUAGAUAUCGAGAGGAACACCGGUGGCGAAGGCGGCUUUCUGGACAGAAACUGACGCUGAUGCGCGAAAGCUAGGGGAGCAAACAGG
RNAcentral lists this ribosomal RNA (253 nucleotides) under uncultured bacterium. RNAcentral's name for it is "partial 16S ribosomal RNA". It matches the Rfam family "Bacterial small subunit ribosomal RNA", at positions 524 to 776 of the family's 1533-position model. The record is from RNAcentral.